CUGGUAUUCUGGGGAAAAUGGGAUGAAGAGAGCAAGGAGCAGGGGCCACUCUGUUAAGGACCAGGAAGAUUGUCUCUGGCACAAGUAAAAUCCAGAAUACCUGGGCACAGUGAAGAAAGCUGCAGGUGGAAGAGAGAAAGGUGGUGGUGAUGGGAAAGGGCAUGGUUGAGAAGAGAUAAUAAAAAGGGCUAAGAAGGCA
Molecule: long non-coding RNA, 199 nt
Filed under: Fukomys damarensis (Damara mole-rat)
Lineage: Eukaryota; Metazoa; Chordata; Mammalia; Rodentia; Bathyergidae
Description: lncRNA (ENSFDAG00000027589.1)
Source: RNAcentral